RNAcentral lists this ribosomal RNA (364 nucleotides) under uncultured bacterium. RNAcentral's name for it is "partial 16S ribosomal RNA". It matches the Rfam family "Bacterial small subunit ribosomal RNA", at positions 338 to 699 of the family's 1533-position model. The record is from RNAcentral.
CCUACGGGAGGCAGCAGUGAGGAAUAUUGGUCAAUGGACGCAAGUCUGAACCAGCCAUGCCGCGUGCAGGAAGACGGCUCUAUGAGUUGUAAACUGCUUUUGUACGAGGGAAAACGCAGAUACGCGUAUCUGUCUGAAAGUAUCGUACGAAUAAGGCUCGGCUAACUCCGGGCCAGCAGCCGCGGUAAUACGGAGGGUUCAAGCGUUAUCCGGAUUUAUUGGGUUUAAGGGGUGCGUAGGCGGUCGGAUAAGUUAGAUGUGAAAUCCCGAGGCUCAACUUCGGAAUUGCCUCUGAUACUGUUCGGCUAGAGUGUAGUUGCGGUAAGCGGAAUGUAUGGUGUAGCGGUGAAAUGCUUAGAGAUCA